RNAcentral lists this ribosomal RNA (465 nucleotides) under uncultured bacterium. Its description in RNAcentral is "partial 16S ribosomal RNA". It matches the Rfam family "Bacterial small subunit ribosomal RNA", at positions 28 to 507 of the family's 1533-position model. The record is from RNAcentral.
GACGAACGCUGGCGGCGUGCUUAACACAUGCAAGUCGAACGGAAAGGCCCCUUUGGGGGUACUCGAGUGGCGAACGGGUGAGUAACACGUGAGUAACCUGCCCUUGACUUCGGGAUAACUUCAGGAAACUGGGGCUAAUACCGGAUAGGAAUCCUUGCUGCAUGGUGGGGGUUGGAAAGCUUCGGCGGUUUUGGAUGGACUCGCGGCUUAUCAGCUUGCUGGUGGGGUAGUGGCUUACCAAGGCUUUGACGGGUAGCCGGCCUGAGAGGGCGACCGGCCACAUUGGGACUGAGAUACGGCCCAGCCUCCUACGGGAGGAAGCAGUGGGGAAUAUUGCACAAUGGGCGGAAGCCUGAUGCAGCAACGCCGCGGGCGGGAUGACGGCCUUCGGGUUGUAAACCGCGUUAAGCAGGGGCGAAGCUUGUGGUGACGGUACCUGCAGAAGAAGCACCGGCUAACUACGUG